GAUUUGUGAGGAAAAUACAUUUCAGUCCCAAUUGAUGUCCACUUACAACUGAUGUAUUUUUCUGAUGUU
This is a small nucleolar RNA of Jaculus jaculus (lesser Egyptian jerboa), 69 nucleotides long. RefSeq annotates it as small nucleolar RNA SNORD73. The transcript has a single exon. The record is from RefSeq and is a predicted model, not a curated record. Lineage: Eukaryota; Metazoa; Chordata; Mammalia; Rodentia; Dipodidae.